Molecule: long non-coding RNA, 860 nt
Organism: Homo sapiens (human)
Lineage: Eukaryota; Metazoa; Chordata; Mammalia; Primates; Hominidae
Product: long intergenic non-protein coding RNA 1789
Source: Ensembl
ACAGCAGAAAUGACAAGGCAUAACAAGUCACGUAAGGGAGCUCUUUGGUUUUUCCUGGGAGUUAAAGUAAAGAUUUACCUCCUCUUAAUUUUUCCAGUGGGUGGUAAACAAACUUCUCUAAGCCUCUUCUGGUAAGGGCUUCCGAGAUAGUUUUUACAUGCAGGAAGAGAGAACAAGUGCAGGCAACGUCCAAGGUCCUCUUGUUUUGCAGAUCACUGCACAACAGACCCUCAGGUAGAACAAGUUUAGAUAGUGACUCUUAACCAAAGUACAAGUUAGCAUCACCUGGAAGACUUUACUAACCAUGGUUGGCUGAGAGUCUGUGGGAGCAGAAGAGGAAACUGAGGCUUUAGAGAACUGUAGCACAUUGGCAAGGACAUCCAGCUCAUAAACACCCUCAGCCUUCAGCAUGAGAACAGGGACAUCAGCCUGCUUUGCCCAUGGAACUGUCUCCAGAGCCUACAACAAUGCUCAGCCUAUGAGAGGUGUCUCCUAGAAGACUUUCCAUUUCAACAAGCCUCAUUUAUAUGCAACUGGCAAUUUCUCUAAACAGAAGAAAAGGGGAGAUUUUGCCAAUCAAUUGGCUUCACCAUCCCCCAGCCCCAAAGUGUGUUUAAGAACAUUUGCCUGUGCAUGCAUGUGUUUUCCUUUGCAUCCCACAAGAGGAAGGGUCUCGCUCUGUGGCCCAGGCUGGAGAGUAUGGUGCAAUCAAGGCUCACUGCCCCAUGUUCAAGCCAUCCUCCCACCUCAGCCUCCCAGAUAGCUGGGACUAGAGACACACAUCACCACGCAUGGCUCUGGGUUACUUCAAUAAGUAUUUUUCAAUAAAUAUUUCUUCAAUAAAUAUUUAAUAACACAAA